RNAcentral lists this ribosomal RNA (219 nucleotides) under Ariosoma balearicum (bandtooth conger). Its description in RNAcentral is "partial 12S ribosomal RNA". Lineage: Eukaryota; Metazoa; Chordata; Actinopteri; Anguilliformes; Congridae. The record is from RNAcentral.
AACCCAAAGGACUUNGCGGUGCCUUAGACCUACCUAGAGGAGCCUGUCCCACAACCGAUAACCCCCGUUAAACCUAACCACCUCUUGCCACAUCAGUCUAUAUACCGCCGUCGCCAGCUUACCUUGUGAAAGAAAAAUAGUAAGCUAAAUGGAAUAUUUAACCAAAAAAGUCAGGUCGAGGUGUAACACAUGAGAUGGUGAAAGAUGGGCUACAUUUUC